GCUUGUUGUUGAUUAGAACAGCCUCAGAAGAAACGUUCUAAAGCAGAGAAGAAGAAGAAAGAUGCCGAUGGGCCACGUCGGUUGAGGAGGAGAGUGGAGCCGGUGGCCUGAUGCCAGCCAUCAGCCAGGCUAAAAAAGAUGCUACAACAGAUGCUAAUUUAACACGCUGACCCGCUGGUGGCAGAGAGUCCUGCAGCACGUGAUUGAGCUGUUACUACACCUGAUGGCUGCUCUCUAACUGACCUGACCUUCUCGCAGGACGGUAUGUUUUACUCUCACCGUUAACGGUCGCACACGUUACGUGAUUGUUGGGAUCAGUGGGAAGGAAAGGUGACCCGUGGCAUGGCUGAAUUCUGCUCCAGCUGGUUCUCCGUACUGGACACAGUCAGACACCAUGCAACAGCCUCGUCUCAUUUCU
Long non-coding RNA from Poecilia latipinna (sailfin molly), 418 nucleotides. RefSeq lists it as uncharacterized. Lineage: Eukaryota; Metazoa; Chordata; Actinopteri; Cyprinodontiformes; Poeciliidae. The transcript has 3 exons. The record is from RefSeq and is a predicted model, not a curated record.